AUAGAACGCUGGCGGCAUGCUUUACACAUGCAAGUCGAACGGUAACAGGGUGCUUGCACCGCUGACGAGUGGCGAACGGGUGAGUAAUGCGUCGGAACGUGCCGAGUAGUGGGGGAUAACGCAGCGAAAGUUGUGCUAAUACCGCAUACGUACUGAGGUAGAAAGUGGGGGACCUUCGGGCCUCACGCUAUUCGAGCGGCCGACGUCUGAUUAGCUAGUAGGUGAGGUAAAGGCUCACCUAGGCGACGAUCAGUAGCGGGUUUGAGAGGAUGAUCCGCCACACUGGGACUGAGACACGGCCCAGACUCCUACGGGAGGCAGCAGUGGGGAAUUUUGGACAAUGGGCGCAAGCCUGAUCCAGCCAUGCCGCGUGAGUGAAGAAGGCCUUCGGGUUGUAAAGCUCUUUCGGACGGGAAGAAAUUGGUGGGGCUAAUAUCCCCAUCGGAUGACGGUACCGUAAUAAGAAGCACCGGCUAACUACGUGCCAGCCGCCGCCGUAA
Molecule: ribosomal RNA, 500 nt
Filed under: uncultured bacterium
Lineage: Bacteria
Description: partial 16S ribosomal RNA
Rfam family: Bacterial small subunit ribosomal RNA
Source: RNAcentral